CCUACGGGUGGCAGCAGUGGGGAAUAUUACACAAUGGGGGAAACCCUGAUGCAGCGACGCCGCGUGCGUGAAGAAGUAUUUCGGUAUGUAAAGCUCUAUCAGCCGGGAAGAAAAUGACGGUACCUGAUUAAGAAGCCCCGGCUAACUACGUGCCAGCCGCCGCGGUAAUACGUAGGGGGCAAGCGUUAUCCGGAUUUACUGGGUGUAAAGGGAGCGUAGACGGCAGUACAAGUCUGGGGUGAAAGGCCGGGGCUUAACCCCGGAAGUGCUUUGGAAACUGUGCAGCUAGAGUGCAGGAGAGGUAAGGGGAAUGCCUGGUGUAGCGGUGAAAUGCGUAGAUAUUAGGAGGAACACCAGUGGCGAAGGCGGCUUACUGGACUGUAACUGACGUUGAGGCUCGAAAGCGUGGGGAGCAAACAGGAUGAGAUACCCUUGUAGUC
RNAcentral lists this ribosomal RNA (440 nucleotides) under uncultured bacterium. RNAcentral describes it as "partial 16S ribosomal RNA". It matches the Rfam family "Bacterial small subunit ribosomal RNA", at positions 338 to 795 of the family's 1533-position model. The record is from RNAcentral.